Molecule: ribosomal RNA, 300 nt
Filed under: uncultured bacterium
Lineage: Bacteria
Description: bacterial SSU rRNA
Rfam family: Bacterial small subunit ribosomal RNA
Source: RNAcentral
UUUUCCUACGGGGGGCAGCAGUGGGGAAUAUUGGGCAAUGGGCGCAAGCCUGACCCAGCAACGCCGCGUGAAGGAAGAAGGCUUUCGGGUUGUAAACUUCUUUUAUGAGGGACGAAACAAAUGACGGUACCUCAUGAAUAAGCCACGGCUAACUACGUGCCAGCAGCCGCGGUAAUACGUAGGUGGCAAGCGUUAUCCGGAUUUACUGGGUGUAAAGGGCGUGUAGGAGGGACUGCAAGUCAGAUGUGAAAACCAUGGGCUCAACCCAUGGCCUGCAUUUGAGCCUGUAGUUCUUGAGUG